Long non-coding RNA from Sander lucioperca (pikeperch), 2277 nucleotides. RefSeq lists it as uncharacterized. The transcript is spliced from 2 exons. Lineage: Eukaryota; Metazoa; Chordata; Actinopteri; Perciformes; Percidae. The record is from RefSeq and is a predicted model, not a curated record.
UUUUCCAUCACAUGGUACCUGCUCGACUCGCCUAGACUCUAAUCGCCUGUUUUGGUUUGUCCAUUAUGAUAAAAAAAAGUCCCAGGUACUUUAUUUUAGUAUCACCUCCGUCGAGGUUCCAAGCGAGCUGAGGCGAUACCAAAAGGUGACCUUCACCAAACCUUCCUACCUCCAACCUAAAUGUUCUGUUUUUCUGUCCGACAUCAGCGAAACAAAAAGGAUUGUAAAAGUUGCCGCGCCAAAAUCCUUCAGUAUUUAAAAUUAUAAAUGCCACAAAUGCUCUGAUUAUUUUAUGACUAUUAGUCUACUCUAAGGGCGGAAAUCUCGAUCCAUCGUUUGGCAUUAUGUGUCUAGUACUUUGGUUUAUGACCAGAUACCUGCAAAAACAAAUGGUAUUUCCAUUCUUUAGUUGUAAUUGGCAAAUGUUAGCAUUCUUAAUCUCUAAUCCAAGACAGCGGUCACGGUAAAUGUUUUACCUGCUAAAUGUUAGCAUGUUAGCAUUUAGCUCAAAGCGGUGCUGUUCUUAAGUACAGACUCAGAGCUUCUAGCAUGGAUGUAGACUCUUAAGUCUUGUUUUAUUCAUUGCUAUUUUAUUUGGGAAACAUUUAAACUACAAAUAAUUUACAUUAAAGCUGCAGUGGGUAGAAAGCGGAAGGAAAAAAACGCCAGAAUUUCAAGACCUCUUCCUGCAGUUUUCCUGCUCCCCUCUCUAUGUGCAUGUGUAGAAUAGCCAAUAGGAACGCCCUCUCUCUGAAAUGACCUGUGAUUGGCCGAUGUCCCAUGACAUGGGCUAGAUUUAAAAAACAGAGCCAAGAGGGAAUGCAGAAGUCUAGUUUAAACAAUAUGCUGAAAGAUUAUUAUGGAGUUUUUGCCCAACAACGCCAAAAAAUAAAUUGCCUGCCGGUGCAAAAACAAGGAAAACUGUCUGCUCUGUUGACAUGUUCUCUUAAAUAACUUGUUUGUGCCCCUUAAGAACAAAUGUGCCCUUAUGAAUGGUUCUUUCCUGAGGCGUAAUAUCCUCAAAGUGCCGUUUCUCUGUGACUUUUAAUGUUUGGAAAAUGUAACCGUAGCCGUUACUGUGCACAGUGACCUUGAACCUCGUGUUUUUGUGUUUUUUUGACAUUCCUGGAGAGAAGGAAAUGGUUUGUGGUGUUGGAUUUUAUUUUAUUUUUUUUACUCAAGUACAAUCUGUUUCAAACCACAACGACCAAUCAGGACUGCACAGUUUUUCUUCACCACCUCUGAACACACUGCUUCCUCCGCCUGCUCAGGGGAGUUUCCUUUGCUAAUUAUAUUCACCAAAUUAUGUUCCACAAACUCUUAAAUAGUAUUUUACCUCUCAAAAUAAAAUCAGGGAGUAUUAAGGUCUUGGAAAAGGUCUGGAUAGUCUUCAAUAUCUAAAUACAAACCCUAAAAUGGCCUUUUAAUAAAAUCUAAAGUGUUCUGAUCUUUUUUGUUUUUAUUUCUUAAAUUGGUUUAAUAUUGAAUUUGUAAAAUACUGUUAAGUCUAAAUGUAAGCCUGAUGAGACCCACAAACCAUCUGGUAAAAGUUUUUAAAAGAAAAUUGAGAGAAUCUGUCUUUUCAACGAGUGUAUCUGAGUUGGAGCAACUGUACUUUUAUUGUAUGAGAUUUCAGAGACUUUUAAAUGUUGAUCUGUUUCCAUUUUUCAAGACACUUAGAAUAAACUGAGUACCUUUACCUCUUUAAAAAAUAUCAGCUUUUAACUGUUUCCCUAACUGGCCUGAUUGUAGUUGCAUUUAUUUUGAAUAUUCAUGCUCCCCCAGAGGAUGAACCCUUAUGUUUUUGGUGACUCCAUGACUUCCUUUAGCACCACACUCCGGACAAACAUUUUUAGCUGCUCCAUUGGUAGGACUGUGAAUUACCAUCCUAAGGACCACUAUCAGGUCUUAAGAUAAUCACUCUUUUUUUCUAGGCUGUUUUUUAUUUAGCUAUGCUAGCAACGUAGCUCUGGGGAAGGCAACAUUGGUCGCUCGGUCUGUCGGUCCACCACUUUGGUCCAGACUGAAAUAUCUUAACAACUACGAGAUGGAUUGCUGUGAGAUUGUGAACGGACAUUCAUGUUCCUCAGAGGAUGAUUCCCUCUGACUCUAGGAAUCCUCUGACUUUUCCUCUCGCGCCACCAUGAGGGUUCACAUUUGUGUGUUUGGAGUGAAAUGUCUCAACAACUGUUGGAUGAAUUGUGAUGUUUGGUUCAGAGUUUACAUACAUACAUUUUUAAUGAUUAAACCGACGGCUCUUGUCUUUUUGUCUUGUGA